Molecule: long non-coding RNA, 365 nt
Organism: Astatotilapia calliptera (eastern happy)
Lineage: Eukaryota; Metazoa; Chordata; Actinopteri; Cichliformes; Cichlidae
Source: Ensembl
GCUCCCAUGUAUGGACUGAUGUUUUGAUCCACCUGCUUCUCUGUAACCUGUGGGUGAAUCUCUCCAUCUCCUCUGGAAGCAGAGCAGUCUGAUGAAGGGGCCUGACAGAUGGUAAGUCCUUCUGUUUCAGUAUAAAGAUUUUGUGCUGGAGGGAAAGGACCCAGCAUUAAUGUGAGCUCCUCUUCUCCCUCUUUCAUGUGCAGAAAUAAUUGAUCUUGCCUCUGCUGAGCCUCUGAGUUGGGACUCUUCUCCGGCUGUGAGCUGAAAGAUGAAAGAGGAAGAAUCAUUUCUUCUGAGAAUUCAGAACUUGCUCCCUGCCCCAGUGAAGGAAACUGUCAUAAAGAAAACAACGCAUAAGAGACCAG